AAGUCGUAACAAGGUUUCCGUAGGUGAACCUGCGGAAGGAUCAUUAUCGAGAGAGGGGCUUCGCGCUCCCGGGGGGGUUUUCGGCCCCCCAGCUCUUCACCCCAUUGUCAAUUUACCCCUUGUUGCUUUGGCGGAUUCCGGGGUAUGUCUUGCGUAGGUUUGUCAUAAACCCGUGCGAAGAUGCUGCCCCGCGCCGCCGAAGCCAUUAAAUUGUUUAUCAGUGAUGUCCGAGUAAAAAACCAAUAAUAAAA
Molecule: unclassified non-coding RNA, 251 nt
Filed under: plant metagenome
Description: partial contains small subunit ribosomal RNA and internal transcribed spacer 1
Rfam family: Eukaryotic small subunit ribosomal RNA (bases 1-46)
Source: RNAcentral